CUGAGUUUUUCGUCGGCUGUUUAGAUGUUUCUCCUCUCAAUUCAACUGUGAAUCGCAAAACUGAGAGAGAUAUGAGACACGGAAGAGGUAAAGAAUAAACAAAAAAAACACUUUUUUUUUCAACCAAUCAGGUGUCGACACGACCGAGAUCCUUAACAAUCCUUAGAGUAUCUCCAUCAAGCUAACAAGAAGAAGAAGAAGCCAUGAGAGUUGAAACAAUCAAAUAACAACAAAGUCAAUUCCUGUUCUUUGGUAAGAGAUUUUGCGGCGACAGUUUCCUUUGGGUUUCAGAUUUCGUGUCCUUGUGAUACACGAGGGAUUGAAGUUUCCCCAAAAGAUAUUGAGAAAACAGUCAAGGAAUUUUGUGAAGAGAAUAAGAAAACAAUAUUGGAGCAGCACUAUCAAACUAAUGGAAAAGGAUAUUAGCUUAAGUGGGGAACAUGUUAGGGAGGGAUUCGAAGCAGGUGGGGGUUCUCUGUGGUGUGUUUGGGAAUUAGGAAGUUGUUGGUGAUUCGAUCUUAGCAAAGCUCAAAUCCAUGGCAAUCUCAAGGAGAGAGAUCCCAUUAUUUUGUUGCCUAAUCAGUCUGAUGAUAUCUCUCAUUUAGCUCUUGAUAUCGGAGGAUCUUUGAUAAAGCUGAUGUAUUAUUCACGGCAUGAGGACUACUCGAAUGAUGAUGAUAAGCGUAAGAAGACGAUCAAGGAGAGAUUGGGUAUAACCAAUGACAACUUGAGAAGCUAUCAUGUUCUUGGUGGGAGACUUCAUUUUGUCAAGUUUAAAACUAACAAAAUUAAUGAGUGUUUGGAUUUUAUUCAUUCCAAGCAGCUUCAUCACUGAGGUAUUGGCUUUUUUCCUCUUCUUAUGUUACAAACUUCUGGACUGAACGCUAGAUUGAUGUGCUUACAUAAUGAUUAUGCUAAGUUGAUGUGUUUUUGUCAUUUGAUAUACCAGAAAACAUUUGAGAAGAUUAUUGUUUUAGGUGAAAACUUUUAUAUGUCUUGUAUAUCCUUGUCAUGUAAUUUGCUGAUUUGGAUUUGAUUAGUUUAUGGUUGCUUGCCUC
This is a long non-coding RNA of Camelina sativa (false flax), 1058 nucleotides long. RefSeq lists it as uncharacterized. Lineage: Eukaryota; Viridiplantae; Streptophyta; Magnoliopsida; Brassicales; Brassicaceae. The record is from RefSeq and is a predicted model, not a curated record.